Molecule: transfer RNA, 74 nt
Filed under: Erysipelotrichaceae bacterium
Lineage: Bacteria; Bacillati; Bacillota; Erysipelotrichia; Erysipelotrichales; Erysipelotrichaceae
Also listed under: 2 other names
Description: tRNA-Arg
Rfam family: tRNA
About the family: Transfer RNA (tRNA) molecules are approximately 80 nucleotides in length. Their secondary structure includes four short double-helical elements and three loops (D, anti-codon, and T loops).
Source: RNAcentral
GUCGUCGUAGCUCAGUUGGAUAGAGCACCCGCCUUCUAAGCGGACGGUCAAGAGUUCGAGUCUCUUCGACGACG